RNAcentral lists this long non-coding RNA (304 nucleotides) under Struthio camelus australis. Its description in RNAcentral is "lncRNA (ENSSCUG00000000792.1)". The record is from RNAcentral. Lineage: Eukaryota; Metazoa; Chordata; Aves; Struthioniformes; Struthionidae.
CGAGGAUUUUUGUAGUGAAGAAAAGCAUUGAUAAGGUUUGCAGCUAUCAAUGCUGAGGUUCUUGAAAUCAAAGAAAUGUGGUGAGCAAGUUUUAGGCUUGUUAGCUCCAUAUGCCAGAGGAGAGAAAAAUGGGAUGAUGACAGCUUUUUAAAUGAGAGCUUUACCAUUGCUAUACGUGCCUUGCUCUUCAGAUUGACAAACCUUGAAGACCAUUCAGAAAUGGCAGCUGAUAAAAAUUCAGGAGUUUGAUUGCCUGAAAGGUUGACUUGAAAAGUAGCUGUUGACUACAAUGACUUCUUGCUUA